UUCUCAAUUUUCUGUUUGUAUUAGCCGAUGAAUAUGGCUUUCGGAGAGCCCAAUCUUUUUUCCCAAAAAGCAUUAUAACAACCUCCAUAUUGAGUUGGGGAACCAUAACAUAUAAUCACACUAAAAUUUUCACCCCCAUUUCUGCAUCUACAAGCCCUUUAUUUAAAAUUGUGCAAAUUCAUCAAUUUUUGCGUGUAUAAGCCCAUGGAUCUGGCGUCAGGAACUCCAAUAUUUUUUCUCAAAUAAUUUUAUCAGGACCUCCGUAUUGAGUUGGGGAACCAUCAGCAGCUGCAUGAAGCGGACUCACAAAAUCAACAAAGCAAUGAAUCAAGGUGUUGACUCCAGGCUGCAUAUAAGUUGAUAAUCAGUAGACAGAAUUUUUAAUUAGUUGAUGAUGAUGUGAAACGUAUAUAUUCUUACAUAUAUUGAUGGUUCUGGUACGAGCCUAACUUCUUUGUAA
Molecule: long non-coding RNA, 460 nt
Organism: Solanum lycopersicum (tomato)
Lineage: Eukaryota; Viridiplantae; Streptophyta; Magnoliopsida; Solanales; Solanaceae
Source: RefSeq, a predicted model, not a curated record